ACAUGGUCCAAGACCUCACACACCAGGUAAUUAACAUGGUCUCAGACCUCCCACGCCAGGUAAUUAACAUGGCCCAAGACCUCACACACCAGGUAAUUAACAUGGCCCAAGACCUCACACACCAGGUAAUUAACAUGGCCCAAGACCUCACACACCAGGUAAUUAACAUGGUCCAAGACCUCACACACCAGGUAAUUAACAUGGCCCAAGACCUCCCACGCCAGGUAAUUAACAUGGUCUCAGACCUCCCACGCCAGGUAAUUAACAUGGCCCAAGACCUCACACGCCAGGUAAUUAACAUGGCCCAAGACCUCACACACCAGGUAAUUAACAUGGCCCAAGACCUCACACACCAGGUAAUUAACAUGGCCCAAGACCUCACACACCAGGUAAUUAACAUGGCCCAAGACCUCACACGCCAGGUAAUUAACAUGGCCCAAGACCUCACACGCCAGGUAAUUAACAUGGCCCAAGACCUCACACGCCAGGUAAUUAACAUGGCCCAAGACCUCACACGGCAGGUAAUUAACAUGGCCCAAGACCUCACACACCAGG
Molecule: long non-coding RNA, 555 nt
Organism: Oncorhynchus keta (chum salmon)
Lineage: Eukaryota; Metazoa; Chordata; Actinopteri; Salmoniformes; Salmonidae
Exons: 3
Source: RefSeq, a predicted model, not a curated record